GGAAUCUCUGCCAAGCUCCUCUCUUAAGAAUACAACAAGAAAGCUCCCCAUAGGAGUUUCUUUUGAGGGGGAAAAGCAUAAUGUAAGCAUGAAUUGGCAUCAGUUUUGGUCACUGAGAAUCAAAGGUGCAUCACUGAAUUCUUCUGUAUGGAAAAAAUUACAUCCACUGACAUUCAUUGACAUUUGCUGAAUGCUUAUGGAGACCAAAUAGUGGAAAUUAGCAAAAUGAAAGUUGGACUGCGUGGGCAACAUUUUCCUAGCAACAAUGCUGUCAUAGCAGCUGUGAAACUGUGGGUCCCAUCCUCUGGUGCAGAUUUUUAUGAGUGUAGCUUGCAGACUCUUGCUCAUCAUUAGCAAAAAUACAUAAAUAAUGGUGGUCACUAUGUUGAUAAAUGGUGUUUUGUAGCUGAAAAUUUGUUCAAUCAAAUAGCAUUAUUGUGCUCUUUGUCUCUGUUUUAGUUUCCAGAGAAAUAAACAGAAGGCAUUACUUUCAGAUCGACCUAUGUAGAAUCAAAGCCAGCCACAGUUAGAUUUUCUGAAAAUCUCCAAAGAAAAAUCUCCAAGGAAAAAUCUCUGAAGAAAAGGAUGCAGGGAAUUAGAGUUAAGACAUCUACUUAAUUUGGCAUACGGUAUUCCAGUGGAUCAAGAGGAAUUAUAUGAGAAAAAUGCACAGAAGACACACUGUAGCUUGCUGUUCAUUAUCAAAUUAGCACCUUUUGUAUCAUGUUUCAACCUCCUUUCAGGCUUCUCCUUAUAAUACAUGUGAUUAGAAGUGAAUUAAUAAUAGGAAUAAAGUGUCAGAGAGUCCAUUUUUAGUGACUACCUUAAAACAAAAAUGAAAAGAAGGUGCAUUUAGAAUAUCAUUAAUGAAUACUUCAGUGAGUGGAGGGAGGUAUUCUAUAGAUUCAAAGCUCCAUGCCCAUGAAAACACAGAACAAGCACACAUUUUCCAGACCUCUGCCUUCAGUUGCAUCUAAAAGUCAUUGUUCCUUGAACAAAAGAAGCCAUGGAGUGAGUGUUUUAUGUUUCACUGUGUCUUCAUCAACUUUCAUCACUCAAUAUGCAAGAGGCACAGAAGUCAGUGAUAUCAAAGAUCUGCUAGUUUCUCACUGGUCUAGCUGAUAAGGUAUUCUUUUUCCCCACUACAUUUAUCCUCUCAUGAAUAUUUCCUUGCCUUACAACAUGCCAUGUUCAUGCUCAUGUGGUGCUUCUUCUCUGAUGCCUUUCAAUUGUUAAAAAAAAAAAACAACAAAUCAAAACAAAAACCAAACCAAAACAAAAAGAUCAUUUUAAUUAUUUUGCAUCACCACACUAAAAGGAAGACGCCUUCCAAAAGGCAUAGACUUUGAUUAGUGGGUUGCUCAAAGUCUGAGGUCAAUAGUUGAGCCAGGAGUGUAAUUCUUUUUCAAAGAGUGGGGGGCAUCACUCUGACUUUUAAUCCUGUCCUCCGUCCCACAGACAUACAAGACAAGUGCAUGAUGCAACACUUGCUAAAACCAUUCUUAGUCCUAUGAAGAGGAUGAGUUGUUUUGUUGCUUUACCAAAAUUAAUCCAUCAGACAAAAAUGAUCUAGAGGACAGUAGACAGAGGGAAUACAGUACUUAUCGUCCCUGUGCUAUUGUUUGAAAAGUAUCAGGGACCAUAGGGAAUGGUGCUUCUUGCUGUAAAUGAGUAAGCAGAAUGUACCAGACAGAACAAAGUUAUGAAUGAAGAAACGUAAGCAUAGUAUGUGUGAUUUGAUUUCCACUGCGGCUUCAAUUGAAUGAAUAUAUUUUCCUCUUCUUUUCAAACUGUUUCCUCAUCCAUCAUUUUUUAGCAUACAAAGAGGAGGAAGAAGGAUAAGUUUACUGUGUCCACAGAGCCUGGAAAAAAAGGCAUAUAAAGAUAAGUGCUUGAGAGCAGGAUAGGUAGAUCUUCUGCUUCUGUAGAUCUUCAGCUUAGUAGAUCCCUGGUUUUAGCAGUGACGAAGGGAAGAAUCAUUAGGAUUUAUGAGAAACAUCAAGUGCACACAAACCAAUCACCGUUAAAACCCAUCUGUCCCUUGCAGACACACAGAUGAUACGUUUUUCAUUCAAGUAGGAUGGUGACACUGCUCAGCACUGCCUGUUGCCCCAGACCCUCCUCCUUGACUUUUGGCAUCAUUCCCAAUGGGAAAUCUGUGAAGAGAGCUAAUGAGUAACAAGAGACAGGGAUUUUAGCUAUUCUGUGGGCAGCAUGCACAAAUAAGGAUUCCUUUGUUUCACAGAAAUAAGAUGGUGUAUCUGUUAAUGAGUGAGUUUUCUCUCUCUCUCUCUUUUUUUUUUUUUUUUUUUUUUUUUGCUUUUUUUGCUUUGAGUACCCCUGUUUUCUUUCUGGUUAAAAACCACCUAGCAUUGCUAGGAUAUCACUGUGCAGCAUAAAAAUGCCUGGCUUUCUACAAAGGUUGAAUCCAAAAAAAAAAAAAAAAAA
This 2448-nucleotide long non-coding RNA is filed under the name Gallus gallus (chicken). RNAcentral's name for it is "lncRNA (ENSGALG00010009325.1)". Lineage: Eukaryota; Metazoa; Chordata; Aves; Galliformes; Phasianidae. The record is from RNAcentral.